AGUGAACGCUGGCGGUAGGCCUAACACAUGCAAGUCGAACGGCAGCACAGUAAGAGCUUGCUCUUACGGGUGGCGAGUGGCGGACGGGUGAGGAAUACAUCGGAAUCUACUUUUUCGUGGGGGAUAACGUAGGGAAACUUACGCUAAUACCGCAUACGACCUACGGGUGAAAGCAGGGGAUCUUCGGACCUUGCGCGAUUGAAUGAGCCGAUGUCGGAUUAGCUAGUUGGCGGGGUAAAGGCCCACCAAGGCGACGAUCCGUAGCUGGUCUGAGAGGAUGAUCAGCCACACUGGAACUGAGACACGGUCCAGCCUCCUACGGGAGGCAGCAGUGGGGAAUAUUGGACAAUGGGCGCAAGCCUGCUCCAGCCAUACCGCGUGGGUGAAGAAGGCCUUCGGGUUGUAAAGCCCUUUUGUUGGGAAAGAAAAGCAGCAGGUUAAUACCCCGCUGUUCUGACGGUACCCAAAGAAUAAGCACCGGCUAACUUCGUG
RNAcentral lists this ribosomal RNA (492 nucleotides) under uncultured bacterium. RNAcentral describes it as "partial 16S ribosomal RNA". It matches the Rfam family "Bacterial small subunit ribosomal RNA", at positions 29 to 507 of the family's 1533-position model. The record is from RNAcentral.